CUGCCCGUGGCCGACCUGCAAUGGACAGACCCUUUGUAUUGGGCUGCCAAGGAAGGCCACCUGUCCGUGUUCGAGCUGCUGAAG
RNAcentral lists this non-coding RNA (84 nucleotides) under Pseudopedinella elastica. The record is from RNAcentral. Lineage: Eukaryota; Dictyochophyceae; Pedinellales.